AAAACUUUCAACAACGGAUCUCUUGGUUCUGGCAUCGAUGAAGAACGCAGCGAAAUGCGAUAAGUAAUGUGAAUUGCAGAAUUCAGUGAAUCAUCGAAUCUUUGAACGCACAUUGCGCCCUGUGGUAUUCCGCAGGGCAUGCCUGUUCGAGCGUCA
This 156-nucleotide ribosomal RNA is filed under the name Helotiales sp. GWT1-42. RNAcentral's name for it is "5.8S ribosomal RNA". It matches the Rfam family "5.8S ribosomal RNA". From Rfam's summary of the family: 5.8S ribosomal RNA (5.8S rRNA) is a component of the large subunit of the eukaryotic ribosome. Lineage: Eukaryota; Fungi; Ascomycota; Leotiomycetes; Helotiales. The record is from RNAcentral.